Molecule: ribosomal RNA, 2641 nt
Filed under: Salmonella enterica subsp. enterica serovar Oranienburg
Lineage: Bacteria; Pseudomonadati; Pseudomonadota; Gammaproteobacteria; Enterobacterales; Enterobacteriaceae
Description: partial 23S ribosomal RNA
Rfam family: Bacterial large subunit ribosomal RNA
Source: RNAcentral
UUCGACACACUAUCAUUAACUGAAUCCAUAGGUUAAUGAGGCGAACCGGGGGAACUGAAACAUCUAAGUACCCCGAGGAAAAGAAAUCAACCGAGAUUCCCCCAGUAGCGGCGAGCGAACGGGGAGGAGCCCAGAGCCUGAAUCAGCAUGUGUGUUAGUGGAAGCGUCUGGAAAGGCGCGCGAUACAGGGUGACAGCCCCGUACACAAAAGCGCAUGUGCUGUGAGCUCGAUGAGUAGGGCGGGACACGUGGUAUCCUGUCUGAAUAUGGGGGGACCAUCCUCCAAGGCUAAAUACUCCUGACUGACCGAUAGUGAACCAGUACCGUGAGGGAAAGGCGAAAAGAACCCCGGCGAGGGGAGUGAAAAAGAACCUGAAACCGUGUACGUACAAGCAGUGGGAGCACCCUUUGGGGUGUGACUGCGUACCUUUUGUAUAAUGGGUCAGCGACUUAUAUUCUGUAGCAAGGUUAACCGUAUAGGGGAGCCGGAGGGAAACCGAGUCUUAACCGGGCGUUAAGUUGCAGGGUAUAGACCCGAAACCCGGUGAUCUAGCCAUGGGCAGGUUGAAGGUUGGGUAACACUAACUGGAGGACCGAACCGACUAAUGUUGAAAAAUUAGCGGAUGACCUGUGGCUGGGGGUGAAAGGCCAAUCAAACCGGGAGAUAGCUGGUUCUCCCCGAAAGCUAUUUAGGUAGCGCCUCGUGAAUUCAUCUCCGGGGGUAGAGCACUGUUUCGGCUAGGGGGCCAUCCCGGCUUACCAACCCGAUGCAAACUGCGAAUACCGGAGAAUGUUAUCACGGGAGACACACGGCGGGUGCUAACGUCCGUCGUGAAGAGGGAAACAACCCAGACCGCCAGCUAAGGUCCCAAAGUCAUGGUUAAGUGGGAAACGAUGUGGGAAGGCCCAGACAGCCAGGAUGUUGGCUUAGAAGCAGCCAUCAUUUAAAGAAAGCGUAAUAGCUCACUGGUCGAGUCGGCCUGCGCGGAAGAUGUAACGGGGCUAAACCAUGCACCGAAGCUGCGGCAGCGACACUCAGGUGUUGUUGGGUAGGGGAGCGUUCUGUAAGCCUGCGAAGGUGUGUCGUGAGGCAUGCUGGAGGUAUCAGAAGUGCGAAUGCUGACAUAAGUAACGAUAAAGCGGGUGAAAAGCCCGCUCGCCGGAAGACCAAGGGUUCCUGUCCAACGUUAAUCGGGGCAGGGUGAGUCGACCCCUAAGGCGAGGCCGAAAGGCGUAGUCGAUGGGAAACGGGUUAAUAUUCCCGUACUUGGUGUUACUGCGAAGGGGGGACGGAGAAGGCUAUGUUGGCCGGGCGACGGUUGUCCCGGUUUAAGCGUGUAGGUGUGUGUUCCAGGUAAAUCCGGUUCACUUUAACACUGAGGCGUGAUGACGAGGCACUACGGUGCUGAAGCAACAAAUGCCCUGCUUCCAGGAAAAGCCUCUAAGCAUCAGGUAACAUCAAAUCGUACCCCAAACCGACACAGGUGGUCAGGUAGAGAAUACCAAGGCGCUUGAGAGAACUCGGGUGAAGGAACUAGGCAAAAUGGUGCCGUAACUUCGGGAGAAGGCACGCUGACACGUAGGUGAAGUGAUUUACUCACGGAGCUGAAGUCAGUCGAAGAUACCAGCUGGCUGCAACUGUUUAUUAAAAACACAGCACUGUGCAAACACGAAAGUGGACGUAUACGGUGUGACGCCUGCCCGGUGCCGGAAGGUUAAUUGAUGGGGUCAGCGCAAGCGAAGCUCCUGAUCGAAGCCCCGGUAAACGGCGGCCGUAACUAUAACGGUCCUAAGGUAGCGAAAUUCCUUGUCGGGUAAGUUCCGACCUGCACGAAUGGCGUAAUGAUGGCCAGGCUGUCUCCACCCGAGACUCAGUGAAAUUGAACUCGCUGUGAAGAUGCAGUGUACCCGCGGCAAGACGGAAAGACCCCGUGAACCUUUACUAUAGCUUGACACUGAACAUUGAGCCUUGAUGUGUAGGAUAGGUGGGAGGCUUUGAAGUGUGGACGCCAGUCUGCAUGGAGCCGACCUUGAAAUACCACCCUUUAAUGUUUGAUGUUCUAACGUGGACCCGUAAUCCGGGUUGCGGACAGUGUCUGGUGGGUAGUUUGACUGGGGCGGUCUCCUCCUAAAGAGUAACGGAGGAGCACGAAGGUUGGCUAAUCCUGGUCGGACAUCAGGAGGUUAGUGCAAUGGCAUAAGCCAGCUUGACUGCGAGCGUGACGGCGCGAGCAGGUGCGAAAGCAGGUCAUAGUGAUCCGGUGGUUCUGAAUGGAAGGGCCAUCGCUCAACGGAUAAAAGGUACUCCGGGGAUAACAGGCUGAUACCGCCCAAGAGUUCAUAUCGACGGCGGUGUUUGGCACCUCGAUGUCGGCUCAUCACAUCCUGGGGCUGAAGUAGGUCCCAAGGGUAUGGCUGUUCGCCAUUUAAAGUGGUACGCGAGCUGGGUUUAGAACGUCGUGAGACAGUUCGGUCCCUAUCUGCCGUGGGCGCUGGAGAACUGAGGGGGGCUGCUCCUAGUACGAGAGGACCGGAGUGGACGCAUCACUGGUGUUCGGGUUGUCAUGCCAAUGGCACUGCCCGGUAGCUAAAUGCGGAAGAGAUAAGUGCUGAAAGCAUCUAAGCACGAAACUUGCCCCGA